Beta vulgaris subsp. vulgaris (sugar beet) is the source of this 218-nucleotide non-coding RNA. Lineage: Eukaryota; Viridiplantae; Streptophyta; Magnoliopsida; Caryophyllales; Amaranthaceae. The record is from Rfam.
UUGUUUGCUGAUGCAGCACCAUCAAGAUUCACAUGCCCAUCUUCCUUGGCUUCCACCAUUUUUUUUUCUAUUUUUUUAAUUUUUUUUUGGGGUUUUUUCUGUAUAAAUAAAUGUGUUAAGAAAAUCCCAAAAAAAAGAAAAAAAAAAGGAAAAAAAAUGGUGAAGUGAUAAGGAGGUAAAGGAUGUGAGAAUCUUGAUGAUGCUGCAGCGGCAAUAAA